GCGCCCGUAGCUCAAUUGGAUAGAGCGCCUGACUACGAAUCAGGAGGUUGCAGGUUCAAGUCCUGCCGGGCGUACCA
This 77-nucleotide transfer RNA is filed under the name Verrucomicrobiota bacterium. RNAcentral's name for it is "Verrucomicrobia bacterium tRNA-Arg". It matches the Rfam family "tRNA". Rfam says of the family: Transfer RNA (tRNA) molecules are approximately 80 nucleotides in length. Their secondary structure includes four short double-helical elements and three loops (D, anti-codon, and T loops). Further hydrogen bonds mediate the characteristic L-shaped molecular structure. tRNAs have two regions of fundamental functional importance: the anti-codon, which is responsible for specific mRNA codon recognition, and the 3' end, to which the tRNAs corresponding amino acid is attached (by aminoacyl-tRNA synthetases). tRNAs cope with the degeneracy of the genetic code in two manners: having more than one tRNA (with a specific anti-codon) for a particular amino acid; and 'wobble' base-pairing, i.e. permitting non-standard base-pairing at the 3rd anti-codon position. The record is from RNAcentral. Lineage: Bacteria; Pseudomonadati; Verrucomicrobiota. RNAcentral also lists the same sequence under 1 other name.